Molecule: ribosomal RNA, 328 nt
Filed under: uncultured eukaryote
Lineage: Eukaryota
Description: partial 18S ribosomal RNA
Rfam family: Eukaryotic small subunit ribosomal RNA
Source: RNAcentral
CCCUUAGAUGUCCGGGGCUGCACGCGCGCUACACUGAAGGAAUCAGCGUGCUAAAACCAUUGUCGAAAGGCAUUGGUAAACCCAUUAAAAUCCUACGUGAUUGGGAUCGGGAAUUGCAAUUAUUUCCCUUGAACGAGGAAUUCCCAGUAAGUGUGGGUCAUAAGCUCGCGUUGAUUACGUCCCUGCCCUUUGUACACACCGCCCGUCGCUGCCCGGGACUGAGCCGUUUCGAGAAAAGCGGGGACUGCUGCUGUCGGGGCUUUCGGGCCUUGGCUUCGGUGGAAACCGCUUUAAUCGCAGUGGCUUGAACUGGGCAAAANUCGUAACA